RNAcentral lists this ribosomal RNA (419 nucleotides) under uncultured bacterium. RNAcentral's name for it is "bacterial SSU rRNA". It matches the Rfam family "Bacterial small subunit ribosomal RNA", at positions 362 to 776 of the family's 1533-position model. The record is from RNAcentral.
UAUUGGUCAAUGGGCGGGAGCCUGAACCAGCCAAGUCGCGUGAGGGAAGACGGUCCUACGGAUUGUAAACCUCUUUUGCCGGGGAGCGACGGGGUCCUUGCGAGGGCCCAAUGAGAGUACCCGGAGAAAAAGCAUCGGCUAACUCCGUGCCAGCAGCCGCGGUAAUACGGAGGAUGCGAGCGUUAUCCGGAUUUAUUGGGUUUAAAGGGUGCGUAGGCUGUGAGGUAAGUCAGCGGUGAAAUGCCCCCGCUCAACGGGGUGAAGUGCCAUUGAUACUGCCUUGCUGGAAUGCGGAUGCCGUGGGAGGAAUGUGUGGUGUAGCGGUGAAAUGCAUAGAUAUCACACAGAACACCGAUUGCGAAGGCAUCUCACGAAUCCGCGAUUGACGCUGAUGCACGAAAGCGUGGGUAUCAAACAGG